AUUGAACGCUGGCGGCAUGCCUUACACAUGCAAGUCGAACGGCAGCACGGGUGCUUGCACCUGGUGGCGAGUGGCGAACGGGUGAGUAAUACAUCGGAACGUACCUUAUCGUGGGGGAUAACGCAGCGAAAGCUGUGCUAAUACCGCAUACGCCCUGAGGGGGAAAGCGGGGGAUCGAAAGACCUCGCGCGAUUAGAGCGGCCGAUGCCUGAUUAGCUUGUUGGUGGGGUAAAAGCCCACCAAGGCGACGAUCAGUGGCUGGUCUGAGAGGACGAUCCACCACACUGGGACUGAGACACGGCCCAGACUCCUACGGGAGGCAGCAGUGGGGAAUUUUGGACAAUGGGGGCAACCCUGAUCCAGCAAUGCCGCGUGAGUGAAGAAGGCCUUCGGGUUGUAAAGCUCUUUUUUCAGGGAAGAAACACCGGCUCUAACACAGUCCGGGAAUGACGGUACCUGAAGAAUAAGCACCGGCUAACUACGUGCCAGCCGCCGCCGUAA
This 501-nucleotide ribosomal RNA is filed under the name uncultured bacterium. RNAcentral's name for it is "partial 16S ribosomal RNA". It matches the Rfam family "Bacterial small subunit ribosomal RNA", at positions 30 to 523 of the family's 1533-position model. The record is from RNAcentral.